This 898-nucleotide ribosomal RNA is filed under the name Bacillus subtilis. RNAcentral's name for it is "bacterial SSU rRNA". It matches the Rfam family "Bacterial small subunit ribosomal RNA", at positions 316 to 1206 of the family's 1533-position model. Lineage: Bacteria; Bacillati; Bacillota; Bacilli; Caryophanales; Bacillaceae. The record is from RNAcentral.
GGACUGAGACACGGCCCAGACUCCUACGGGAGGCAGCAGUAGGGAAUCUUCCGCAAUGGACGAAAGUCUGACGGAGCAACGCCGCGUGAGUGAUGAAGGUUUUCGGAUCGUAAAGCUCUGUUGUUAGGGAAGAACAAGUACCGUUCGAAUAGGGCGGUACCUUGACGGUACCUAACCAGAAAGCCACGGCUAACUACGUGCCAGCAGCCGCGGUAAUACGUAGGUGGCAAGCGUUGUCCGGAAUUAUUGGGCGUAAAGGGCUCGCAGGCGGUUCCUUAAGUCUGAUGUGAAAGCCCCCGGCUCAACCGGGGAGGGUCAUUGGAAACUGGGGAACUUGAGUGCAGAAGAGGAGAGUGGAAUUCCACGUGUAGCGGUGAAAUGCGUAGAGAUGUGGAGGAACACCAGUGGCGAAGGCGACUCUCUGGUCUGUAACUGACGCUGAGGAGCGAAAGCGUGGGGAGCGAACAGGAUUAGAUACCCUGGUAGUCCACGCCGUAAACGAUGAGUGCUAAGUGUUAGGGGGUUUCCGCCCCUUAGUGCUGCAGCUAACGCAUUAAGCACUCCGCCUGGGGAGUACGGUCGCAAGACUGAAACUCAAAGGAAUUGACGGGGGCCCGCACAAGCGGUGGAGCAUGUGGUUUAAUUCGAAGCAACGCGAAGAACCUUACCAGGUCUUGACAUCCUCUGACAAUCCUAGAGAUAGGACGUCCCCUUCGGGGGCAGAGUGACAGGUGGUGCAUGGUUGUCGUCAGCUCGUGUCGUGAGAUGUUGGGUUAAGUCCCGCAACGAGCGCAACCCUUGAUCUUAGUUGCCAGCAUUCAGUUGGGCACUCUAAGGUGACUGCCGGUGACAAACCGGAGGAAGGUGGGGAUGACGUCAAAUCAUCAUGCCCCUUAUG